This 479-nucleotide ribosomal RNA is filed under the name uncultured bacterium. Its description in RNAcentral is "bacterial SSU rRNA". It matches the Rfam family "Bacterial small subunit ribosomal RNA", at positions 20 to 518 of the family's 1533-position model. The record is from RNAcentral.
UGGCUCAGGACGAACGCUGGCGGCGUGCCUAACACAUGCAAGUCGAGCGAUGAAAUCCUUCGGGAUGGAUUAGCGGCGGACGGGUGAGUAACACGUGGGUAACCUGCCUUGUAGAGGGGGAUAGCCUUCCGAAAGGAAGAUUAAUACCGCAUAACAUCUUUUUAUCGCAUGGUAGAAAGAUCAAAGGAGCAAUCCGCUACAAGAUGGACCCGCGGCGCAUUAGCUAGUUGGUGAGGUAACGGCUCACCAAGGCGACGAUGCGUAGCCGACCUGAGAGGGUGAUCGGCCACAUUGGAACUGAGACACGGUCCAGACUCCUACGGGAGGCAGCAGUGGGGAAUAUUGCGCAAUGGGGGAAACCCUGACGCAGCAACGCCGCGUGAAUGAAGAAGGCCUUAGGGUUGUAAAGUUCUGUUUACGGGGACGAUAAUGACGGUACCCGUGGAGGAAGCCACGGCUAACUACGUGCCAGCAGCAGC